GCCUGGGUGGCUCAGUAGGUUAAGCGCCUGCCUUCGGCUCAGGGCGUGAUCCUGGAGUUGUGGGAUCGAGCCCCACAUCAGGCU
Ailuropoda melanoleuca (giant panda) is the source of this 84-nucleotide non-coding RNA. NCBI's taxonomy places the organism in Eukaryota, Metazoa, Chordata, Mammalia, Carnivora, Ursidae. The record is from Rfam.